GCUCCAAUAGCGUAUAUUAAAAUUGUUGUGGUUAAAAAAAAUCGUAAUUGGAAUUCUGCUGAGGACGACCGGUCCGCCACUGGGGGUGAGUAUCUGGCUCGGCCUUGGCAUCUUCUUGGAGAACGUAUCUGCACUUGAAUGUGUGGUGCGGUAACCAGGACCUUUACUUUGAAGAAAUUAAACUGUUUCAAGCAGGCGUG
RNAcentral lists this ribosomal RNA (200 nucleotides) under uncultured eukaryote. RNAcentral describes it as "partial 18S ribosomal RNA". It matches the Rfam family "Eukaryotic small subunit ribosomal RNA", at positions 588 to 788 of the family's 1831-position model. The record is from RNAcentral.